This 8956-nucleotide long non-coding RNA is filed under the name Homo sapiens (human). RNAcentral's name for it is "lncAB360.1". The stretch from base 181 to 267 matches the Rfam family "ZNFX1 antisense RNA 1 conserved region 3". The record is from RNAcentral. Lineage: Eukaryota; Metazoa; Chordata; Mammalia; Primates; Hominidae.
CUUUCGCGUCUGCGGUGCCCGGAGUGUGGUACUUCUCCUAGUUGCAGUCAGGCUUCAUACGCUAUUGUCCUGCCCGUUAGAGCAGCCAGCGGGUACAGAAUGGAUUUUGGAAGAGGGAGUCACCACUGGACCUCCAAGGAAGCCACGUGCAGACAUCUACAACCUUCGAUCUCCUGACGAGUUUAUUGUUGGCCAAAACCAGGCUUUGAUUGAACCAGGAUGAAUGCGGGUGUUGGAAGUAGAAUAUAUAUAUACAUAUAAAAUUGGUAAGUGGUGCCAACACGUCUUCCCUGGCUGAGUAGACACAGGCUCUGGAGGGGGUAGUAGCUGCUUUUCAGUGUGGGUUUGUCACCCUACUUCUUGUACGACUCAAAUGUGGCCUUUGCAGCUGAUGAUACAGCUUCUUUCCCCAUCAGAUCGACCCUGUUGAUCUCUACACUAUUGGCCAGUUUUGUCUGAUGCAUUGGCCCCAGUAAUAACUCCUAUCUUUGUUUUCUGCUUAUCUUUAUCAGAGACUAUUGCUUGUUCAUGGGAACUGGGCUUUCUCUAUUUUUUCCAGCAUUCAGAUGGCUUCUUUUGACCUGUUAACUUUCUAUAGGUUGGGAGCCACGUGUACCAGUGUGUGUUGAUCUUGGCUUGAUUCAGUCUGCCUUGUAACAGGUGAGGUUUCUGCUUUCUAUCUGCCAAACCCCACCGCAAAAUUUGUCCAACUGGGCCUAACCUCAGGACCCAUUUCCAAGUUGGGUAUAAAACUGGGAGAAUAAGUCAUUAGGACUGACAUUGGCCUGUUGGUAUUACUAGGUCUUUGUUGGAAAUAAGAGCUUGGAGUUCCAAAGAAAACGAGCACUUGAACAAAAGAUUUCUCAGCAAGGCAAAUUUACUUCUGCCGUAGGGUGCUGCUGCUGGCAUUCCUGGCAAGAGCACACCUAACAAAAGAGAGAAAGGGUUUUUAUUCCUAACAAGUAGUCCCUGCUUCUGUGUCCUAUCCCCAUUGGCUGGAGUCGACAGCGCAAUCUAAACUAGUCCUGAUUGGCUAUUUUAAACAGGAGGCAUGUGGGUUACAGCUGUGGGAAGGGCAGGAAACUUGUUUACAGAGCUGGUUGCUAGGAGUGAGGGGGACUUUUCCAAAUAGGGAACAGGUUACAGGUUGAGAUUGGCCGGAGAAGUUGUUUAUAGAACGGGUAACUCGGAGCAGGAAGGUAUGAGGAAGUUGACCUUAAGAACAAAGAACAAGGAAGUUAAAACUUUGAAGAGAAAUCCAUUGUAUCUAACGAUUUCCCCCUUUUGAUUUUUAUAAUUAUUUCUCUUCAGACUUGUUUUAGCGUGUCUUGAUUUUGUUCCUCUUGGUCCUCUGAAAUUAGAAGCUUAACUGAAUGAUGCGAGGGAGGAUUGAGGAAGAUUUUGGUGGGUGAGAGCUGUUAAAAUAAGCUUUUGUAUUAAUCCUCAGAUACAGGGUAUGAUACAGCAUCCUACAAGAAUGAGCAAACCUAUUCUGAUGGCAGGAGAUUGAGGACGUAAGUCCUUUCCAUUUGCGGAACUAUUUUUCCAUUAAAAUCGUGAAGGGGUCAUUUAUUCCAGAAUUUCUAGCUAGCUCAUUGGAUAAAGCAGUAAGUCCUUGGGCCUUUGUUAUGGUUCCAUCGGGAGCAGUAUUAUUAGGGAUGAAAGUACAACACUGGGUUCCAAUCAUGACACAAACUACACCUUUCUCCGCUAGUAUCAUGUCUAAUGCUAUUGUAUUUUCUCAGGCCGUUUGACUGGUGGGCCCUAAUUGUUAAACUGUUCCCUUAAUAGCAUCCCUAGUAUAAUUAAUGAAUCGUUGCUGGGUUACAUUUUUUGUGUUUUUUUUGAGAUGGAGUCUCACUCUGUCGCCCAGGCUGGAGUGCAAUGGUGCAAUGGUUCACUGCAACUUCCACCUCCUGGGUUCAACCUACUCUCCUUCAGCCUCCUGAGUAGCUGGGGGCUGUCACCAUGUUGGUCAGGCUGGUCUCAAACUCCUGAUCUUGUGAUCCACCCGCCUCAGCCUCCUAACAUGCUGGGAUUACAGGCGUGUGCCACCACUCCCGGCCCAAUCUACAUUUUUAUUUAGAGUUGACCACCAGAACAACAUGGAUUCAAACUUGCAGCUAUUUGAUUUUGGGCCUUAAAUCUAUCUGGCACUCCUCGUGGGAUUCCAAUGGCAUCUAUAUAAACAUGAGAGUCACGAGGGACAUCCAUUGUUUUAUGAUGUUCUGUUUUUAUGUAUGUUUUCUGGAUGAAAUACCAGGGUGAAAGGGAGAUAGCCAAUUGGAUUAGAGCUCAAGUGCCACGCCAAGUAACUUGGCAGAGUAUUCAGUAAUGGUCCACCACAACACCACCAUACGUUUGCUUGGGGAUGAAUAAGGGACGACUGAUUGGUAAGCUCCUGGAAGGGCUUAAGCUCACUGCAUCUCGUUAGGUCUCCAAGCAAAUUCAAGUUCUCCCCCUGUGAGAGACACGAGGUAAAAUUGGCAUUGGAAGACGGAUGCUUGAUGGCCCUCGGGGGCUGACCCGCAGGGUGUCGGACUUCAGGGGACUUCAGGAAACAGCAGCGAGAGAGUUUGGCAUAGCUUAUUGCCCCAGGUUGUGGGGUCUUGGAAGAGAGCUGCCAUACAACUUAAUGCCUGAUCGGCUGGAGGACGAUCCGAGUGGAAAGGGAACAAUCUGGGGCUCUGGCUUACCACGUGCGUAAGCAUAACAAUCGCUUUGUUUAGCGAGCGGACAGAAUGUUUAAUCCAUUCCAGCCAUGCAUUUGCAUCUCGGUACCGUUUCAAUUGGUAGAGUUUGCUUUAGAUCUUUAACCUCUACAAUGGUCACUUUGGUUUUGUCAUUGGGUGUUUGUUUAGAAGGGGAUGAAGGGGGUGGGGGAACAAUGAAGCGCAUUUCGAAAGAUCCUGUAGGGUCUAUCCCUAAUGUUGCGGCUCCCAUGCUGUAGAAGCUACUUAAAGUGGGAUUAGGAUUGGUGGAGGUAGAGGUAAGAAUAGAAAUUUGCACUGGGUUACAUUGGUGAUAUUGGCAAUUAGAGGGGGCCUUCCCUUUGAAACGAAGGUAGGGUUGUAGAGAGAUGCAGCUUUUUGGGGAAGUCUACCCUUGAGGAUCGGUAUUCCAUAGGACGUCAUUCCGGGAUGGGCAGAACCUCUCCUCAAACCCUUCCCAUUCCCAAACUGCAAAGAAUGUAAUGGAUUUAGUUUCGAUUAGGCAAGCAUUGUGUGAGGAUUUAGAAUUUAUCUUGGAAGGGCAGAGAUAUUUUUCUGAGAAGGCCAGUUGCCUCUGGUUUUGGAGAUCCCCACAGGAUAUGACAAGACAGGCAUCAAAUGUGAUUGAGGUGAGCUUGAUCUAGUUACAUUAAUGAUAAAAUAGCUGACGGUAGAGAGAGGAAAGAAGACAAGGCAGUAUAAGAGGGUUAAAGUUUUCGUAGCUUUAGGUUGGUAGAAAUUGGCCCUGGAACAAUAGCCCAUGACUCUGAAGAUGGUGAUGCUGUUUUGACUGGGGUAUGAUGGGUCCACCCCUUUUCGGCUGUUCGGGCUGCUGUUUCAGUUAGGAGUGCUAGGUAUGGUCCUUCCCAAGCUGGCUCCUUCCAGCUUUUGAUAAGGAUGUGAUCUCCAGGCUGGUAUUGAUGUACCAGGAACUGUAAGGGUGGCAUCUGUGCUAAAAUACCUUUAGUUCUGAGGUAAGAGAAAGUGGAAAGCCAAGUAUAUAAUUUGAUCCUUUGUUUCAAAGGUAGGAAUGUCAGUAGUAAGAGUGUAAAUAAGGCAGUCCACAUAACAGAGAGAUAGGCCAGUAUCUUUCUGAGAGGCAGUCCUGACUGAAUUAGGUGAAUCUGUAAACCCUUGGGGUAGGACUCUCCAUUGGUACUGCUGCUUCCAUCCAGAAUGAGGGUUUUCCCACUCAAAAGCAAAUACUUCUCUUGUCUUCAGCCAAGGGACAUGCCCAGAAGGCAUCUUUUAAAUCUGUUACUCUGAACCAUUGAUUGUCAUGGAAUUCUGCUGAGGAUGGUAAAAGGAUUGGGGACAACAGGGUGGGUAGUCUGGACUAUUUGGUUGAUAGCCUGGAGAUCUUGUACUAGUUGAUGAGACCUGUCUGAUUUCUUUACAGGUAAUACUGGGGUGUUAAUAGGGGGACAUACAGGGUUCAGGGAAUCAGUCCUGAAUGAGAACUUCAACUACAGGCUUUAAUUCUAUUCUGCCCUCUAGGGGAAUGGGAUAUUACCUUUUUCUUACUAUUUCCCCUGGGGUCUUUAACUUUGUAUGGAUUGGAGUGACUUGAAGUUUCUUUUUUUCUUUCUUUUUUUUUUUUGAGUUGGAGUCUCUGUCACCCAAGCUGGAGUGCAAUGGUGUGAUCUUAAGCCACUGCAACCUUUGCCUCCUGGGUUCAAACAAUUCUCCUGCCUCGGCCUCCUGAGUAGCUGGGAUUACAGGCGCCUGCCACUGCACCCAGCUAAUUUUUGUAUUUUUAGUAGAGAUGGGGUUUCACCAUGUUGGCCAGGCUGGUCUCAAACUCCUGACCUCGUGAUCCACCCACCUUGGCCUCCCAAAGUGCUGGUAUUUCAAGUGUGAGCCAGCAAGCCCAGCCUCCCUGAUUUCUUUUUCCUGCCCAUACAUGAGGAUGAAUGUAUUUUUCUUCUGCGGUGGUAAGUCUCUUCCUAAUAAGUUCGUUCCUGCCUCAGGGAUUAACAGGAAUUUAACAUGGGCUGAUCAAUUUUUGUAUAGACCUCUGUCUUUUAAGAUUUUUGCUUUAAAUCUUUUAUCCCUGAGAUAGAAAGUUCUUCUGAAGAACAGGUGAUAGAUACCAGAUGGGAGGGAACGGGAGCGAGCUGCUGCUGAAUCUGUAAGAAGGUUUUAAGUUCACAUUUGGGUCCCACCUCUAAAUUUAUCAGGGGCUCUUGGUGGGACUCAAGGUAAAAGAGACAGCCCCUGACCUCCCUAUUUUCCUGGAAGGCCAUAAGUGGAAUAUUUUUUCUUUUUCCCAUUUGGGGCAUUCUCUUUUGAAGUGACCUACUCUUCCACAUUUGAAACAUUUGUUUUCCCCUCUUCCCUGUCCUGCACUGUGACUUCCAGGUUUUAUUCCCUUACUCCUUGUAUACAGUUUGGUCGCUGGUGGCCUAGAGGGUUUGUAAGUUUUACUUCCUUGUGUCUCCUACUGCAGAGUUCUCUGUUGUAAGGUAGACAGCAUGAUUUUUGCCUUUUGUUUCUGCUGCUCUUUGUCCCUACUUAUAUGCUUCUCUAAGAAGUUAGUCUCUGGGACAAUCUUUCCAAUUCUCUAUCUUUUGUAGUUGUUUUUAGAGGUGUUUGGCCAAGUCUUAGUAACAAAAUGAAGCUUUAGCAUCCCUUGCCCCAGUGGGUCUUCCAUUUCUAAACCUGCAUAUUUUCUCAUCUGUUCUUUAAGCCUAUUUAGGAAUUCAUGGGUCCUUCAUCCAUCCCUUGUAUGUUGAAUGCUUGGGAAAUACUCUCAGUUCGGGAUACUGAUGGAACAUUUUGACCGGUAGGGUGUUAAUGUUCCCAGACUACCAAAGCAGCCCUAUGGAUCAUGGUUCUUCUCCCAAGAAGGGAAUGCCUAAAAUGGACAUAAGCUCGGCCCAUACAACUGGGGUCCUAAAAAAUGAUUUGAUCUGCUACCCCAUAAGGGUCAUCUAACAAGGGCUUGAGUUUUUCUUUUUUUUUAGAUUUUGUACUUCUGAGCUGGUUAAGGGGGCAUUUACGAAGCUGAUGCCUCCUCUCCCAAGGGGCACUUCUUCAAGGGGAAGAGAGUUGGGGGCAAUUCUUUGGAGGUGGAAAGGGGAAAGGGAAGUUCUGAGUAUCCUUUUUACAUUGUUCUAUUUCAUGCUGUAGGGCUUAAGUGUGUGGCUAGGGGGAACAUGGGGUAUUGAUUCAGGAUUAUAUGGGGGAGGGACUGAUGAGUGGGGGGAUCCUGUGUACCGGCUUGAUGCAUGGGGUUUGGCAGAGGCAAGUGGUCUGGUGGGUCCCAUAUGUUAGCAGGCUGUUCGGGGGUAGAGACCUUACUCCUUUCAGAGGAGUUGGCUUCUGGCUUGCUUCCUGUAGUUAUGUUUAGUCCUUUCACUAUCCUUUUAGCAUGAGAACCUAGGGGACUGUCAGAGGGGAUGUUACUGUCAUUAAUUUGAUCCUUUCUAUUUACUGUCUUUCUUGAGGUAUUUUGCAUAAUGAAGGUUUGGUGUGAGGCCCAAAAUUAGAUUUAUUGCCUUUCCUCAUAGGCUCAACCUCCCUUACUGGAGAUUUCUUGCCAUUCCUUUCUCUAGAGGGUCAGCCCCUGGCUACUGGAGAUUUCUUGCACUCUUCUCCUUUUGCUUCAUCCUUCUCUGGCUGCUUCCCAGGAGGGAAUAUUUCAGGUCCUCCUUAGCAUUGGUGUGUCAGUAUAAGCCCCAUGACAGGAAUCCACCAUAAGCUAUACGAGGUGACCAUGGAAUCACAGAUCCGGAAUCAUCGCUCGCUUCGCACUCAGUUGUGCGUCUCAUUGACACACUUUCAACCUCUAAAAUGCCCUGACCACCAAGGAAAUACUUUGUCGCCCCUGUGACUUUUCUUAACUUGGUCUGUGCAGUUACCUGGUCACCGCAGUAUGUGAGGAUCCUUUCCGCCUGUGUUGCUGAGAGUCUGGGUUUAUGUGUCACCUUGGGUGGGACCCAAUCUCCUGUUUGUGAGGCCACCGCAAAGAGGUGGUGGGAUGCCUCUCCUCAAGAGAGGUGAUCGUGGGCUUCUCCUGAAGGAGAACGGUAAUCCCAGAUGAGCUCCCAAAUUGUUGGCAAUAAGAGCUCAGAGUUGCAAAGAAAAUGAUCUCCAAAAGAUUUCUCAGCAAGGCAGAUUUACUUCUGCAGAAUGGUGCUGCUUGCACUCCUGGUCACAGUGAGAGCACCCCGAACAAAGGAGGUGAAGUGGUUUUUAUCCCUAACACAGCUAGUUCCUGCUUCUGUGUUCUAUCCCCAUUGGCUAGAGUCCAAUCUAAACUAGUCCUGAUUGGCUAUUUUAAACAGGAGGGGUGUGGGUUACAGCAGUGGGAAGAGCAGUUGCCACGAGCGAGGGAGACUUUUCCAGAUAAGGAACAAAUGCGGGUUACAGGUUGGGAUUGGUGGGAGAAAUGUUUACAGAAUGGGUAAUUAGGAGUGGGAAGGUAUGAGGAAGUUGACCUUAAGAACAAAGAACAAGGAAGUUAAACUUUGAAGAGAAACCCAUCAUACCUAACAGUCUUGUAAGAAAGGAUGACAAAGUGAUUGAACAUUGGGUGGAGCUAAUUUUCCUUGGCCAAUUCACUUAGUAAGAUAAGGAGCUCCAAAUCAUAUUUAAGUUGGGAGUCAAUUGAUUUUACUUAAUUCUUGUGAGGUUCAGUUAUAAGAUUCAUCAUACUACUACCAUGAGCCAUCCUCAGCUCCUUGUUACAUGGGCCUGUUAACAUGGCAGCUUUGUCUAUAAGCAAACCCAGGAGAGAAAGACAUAGCAGAGAUGGAUGUUUGAAGUCUAUACCUUCCACCCCCUUUAAAGAGAAAGUAACACCACUCCUUUUCUGUGUCCCUUGGGGACACUACCUCCAUGUCUGGUCACAUGGCUGGACUUUACAGCAGAUAAGCAUACUGUGGCCUGAGACCAUGAUUGUAUGCUUUCCUUCUGCUGACCUUUACAAUCCCUCAAUAAAUUGAGCUAACACAGGGAAGCUUUUUUACCAAAUAACUGUGUUGCAUCAUCCUCCAGUUUGCCUGGUGUCCUUAAUCAAUGGAAGGGGAAUAAGCAAACUGAGUUUUCUUACACCUUUUGAGUAUAGUGUUUUUGCCAUCAUAGAUGUGGCUCCUCAUAAUUCUCCAACUUUUAUAUUAAAAAACCAAAACCUCAAAAAUUGUAGUUCAUGUCAGUCAGUGAUGACUCAUCUUAGAAGUAUUUUGUUUUUGGAUGUGUGAAUGUGCAUAGUUCUUAAAGUCCAACAUUCAUGUAAUAAGACAUCUUGCAUAUAACAAUGACCCUUACGUCUAAGAUGUUAAAUAGAUCCUAAGCCUGGUAUAACUUUAUUCAAGUAUCCUUAUUUGCCCCUAAAAUGUCUUUAAUACACAUUACUUGGGUUAUUUCUUGAAUGAACAUACAGGUAUCCCAAUUUCUGUUUUUAAGAGAAUGGGGUCUUGCUCUGUCACCCAGGCUGGAGUGCAGUGGUGCAGUCAUGGCUUACUGCAUCCAUGAUCCUCCUGCCUCAGCCUCCCAAGUAGAUGGGACUGAAAGCACACACUGCCAUCCCUGGCUAAUGUUUUCAUAUUUUGUAGAGUUGCAGCCUUGCUACGUGACCCAGGCUGGAGUGUAGUAGCUAUUCACAGGCAUGAUUGCUUGAAACUCAUGGCUUCAAGGGAAACUCCCACCCUCAAUAUCCUCAGUAGCUGCAACUACAGCCAUACCCCCCACUGCUCAGCUUCUCAUCCUUUAAAAGAUUUUUACUGGUAGUGUCCUCAUUCUGGGUUUUUGUCUUCUGUGUUUACUGUGACAUGAAGUCAUUUUUAGAUGAAGGUUAAACAUUUUGCCAACGCAGGUACAAUAUGGGAUUCAAUAAAAGUACAGAAUUAAAGUUGUCUUAUUAGAGAUUGGGAAGUUUCCCAGCUCCGUUUAUCGGUACUUGGCCGUACCGAUAAAGGGGAUGGACUUGGAGUGACCAGGUCUUAGUCACAUGUAUUUUCAUACCCUAAACAAGAAGCGGUAUAGACCAGAAUGGAGCACUGAUUGUAAUCCACCUUCUUUCUUAGAAACUGGCGAUGGAAUAUGAGAGGAGCCCUCUGGAAAGAAAAGGACAGACCCUGUGCUUUCAUGAAAGUGAAGAUCUGGCUGAACCAGUUCCACAAGGUUACUGUAUACAUAGCCUGAGUUUAAAAGGCUGUGCCCACUUCAAGAAUGUCAUUGUUAGACUUUGAAAUUUCUAACUGCCUACCUGCAUAAAGAAAAUAAAAUCUUUUAAAUCAAAA